RNAcentral lists this ribosomal RNA (460 nucleotides) under uncultured bacterium. RNAcentral's name for it is "partial 16S ribosomal RNA". It matches the Rfam family "Bacterial small subunit ribosomal RNA", at positions 338 to 795 of the family's 1533-position model. The record is from RNAcentral.
CCUACGGGAGGCAGCAGUGAGGAAUAUUGGUCAAUGGACGAGAGUCUGAACCAGCCAAGUAGCGUGAAGGAUGACUGCCCUAUGGGUUGUAAACUUCUUUUAUAUGGGAAUAAAACGUUCCACGUGUGGGAUUUUGUAUGUACCAUAUGAAUAAGGAUCGGCUAACUCCGGGCCAGCAGCCGCGGUAAUACGGAGGAUCCGAGCGUUAUCCGGAUUUAUUGGGUUUAAAGGGAGCGUAGGUGGAUUGUUAAGUCAGUUGUGAAAGUUUGCGGCUCAACCGUAAAAUUGCAGUUGAAACUGGCAGUCUUGAGUACAGUAGAGGUGGGAGGAAUUCGUGGUGUAGCGGUGAAAUGCUUAGAGAUCACGAAGAACUCCGAUUGCGAAGGCAGUUCACUGGACUGCAACUGACACUGAGGCUCGAAAGUGUGGGUAUCAAACAGGAUUAGAUACCCCGGUAGUC